GGCCCAUUAUCUCAGUUGGUUAGAGCGUUGUGCUAAUAACGAGAAGGCCGCCGGUUCGAUCCCCUCAUGGGCCA
Molecule: non-coding RNA, 74 nt
Organism: Eumeta japonica
Lineage: Eukaryota; Metazoa; Arthropoda; Insecta; Lepidoptera; Psychidae
Source: the annotation of a GenBank genome assembly